This 815-nucleotide ribosomal RNA is filed under the name uncultured bacterium. Its description in RNAcentral is "bacterial SSU rRNA". It matches the Rfam family "Bacterial small subunit ribosomal RNA", at positions 8 to 796 of the family's 1533-position model. The record is from RNAcentral.
AGAGUUUGAUCAUGGCUCAGAGCGAACGCUGGCGGCGUACUUAACACAUGCAAGUCGAACGGGGAUCAUGCCUGUGAGCAAUCACAGAUGUGGUUCUAGUGGCGCACGGGUGAGUAACACGUGGGUAACCUGCCCUUGAGUUCGGGAUACCCCCUCGAAAGGGGGGCUAAUACCGGAUACGUUCCCUGGAUCGCGAGGUCUAGGGAGGAAAGGUGGCGCAAGCUGCCGCUCUUGGAGGGGCUCGCGGCCUAUCAGCUAGUUGGUGAGGUAACGGCUCACCAAGGCUAUGACGGGUAGCUGGUCUGAGAGGACGACCAGCCACACGGGGACUGAGACACGGCCCCGACUCCUACGGGAGGCAGCAGUGGGGAAUUUUCCGCAAUGGGCGAAAGCCUGACGGAGUGACGCCGCGUGUGGGACGAAGGCCUUCGGGUCGUAAACCACUGUCAGUGGGAAAGAAGGAUGCCGUUGCGAUAACCAGCGGUAUCUGACGGUACCUGCAGAGGAAGCCCCGGCCAACUCUGUGCCAGCAGCCGCGGUAAGACAGAGGGGGCAAGCGUUGCUCGGAAUUACUGGGCGUAAAGGGCGCGUAGGCGGGACGGCAAGUCGGUUGUGAAAUCCUCCGGCUCAACCGGAGAACGUCGACCGAUACUGCCGUUCUUGAGGGUUGCAGAGGAGACUGGAAUUCCCGGUGUAGCGGUGAAAUGUGUAGAGAUCGGGAGGAACACCGGUGGCGAAGGCGGGUCUCUGGGCAAUUCCUGACGCUGAGGCGCGAAAGCGUGGGGAGCAAACGGGAUUAGAUACCCCAGUAGUCC